RNAcentral lists this ribosomal RNA (497 nucleotides) under uncultured bacterium. RNAcentral describes it as "partial 16S ribosomal RNA". It matches the Rfam family "Bacterial small subunit ribosomal RNA", at positions 36 to 507 of the family's 1533-position model. The record is from RNAcentral.
UCUUCCCUCUUUCUUCGUGCCUAAUACAUGCAAGUCGAGCGAACAGACGAGGAGCUUGCUCCUCUGACGUUAGCGGCGGACGGGUGGGUAACACGUGGAUAACCUACCUAUAAGACUGGGAUAACUUCGGGAAACCGGAGCUAAUACCGGAUAAUAUAUUGAACCGCAUGGUUCAAUAGUGAAAGACGGUUUUGCUGUCACUUAUAGAUGGAUCCGCGCCGCAUUAGCUAGUUGGUAAGGUAACGGCUUACCAAGGCAACGAUGCGUAGCCGACCUGAGAGGGUGAUCGGCCACACUGGAACUGAGACACGGUCCAGACUCCUACGGGAGGCAGCAGUAGGGAAUCUUCCGCAAUGGGCGAAAGCCUGACGGAGCAACGCCGCGUGAGUGAUGAAGGUCUUCGGAUCGUAAAACUCUGUUAUUCGGGAAGAACAAAUGUGUAAGUAACUAUGCACGUCUUGACGGUACCUAAUCAGAAAGCCACGGCUAACUACGUG